Molecule: ribosomal RNA, 515 nt
Filed under: uncultured bacterium
Lineage: Bacteria
Description: bacterial SSU rRNA
Rfam family: Bacterial small subunit ribosomal RNA
Source: RNAcentral
CACGGUAAACGAUGGAUGCCCGCUGUUUGCGAUAUACUGUGAGCGGCCAAGAGAAAUCGUUAAGCAUCCCACCUGGGGAGUACGCCGGCAACGGUGAAACUCAAAGGAAUUGACGGGGGCCCGCACAAGCGGAGGAACAUGUGGUUUAAUUCGAUGAUACGCGAGGAACCUUACCCGGGCUUGAACUGCAGCAGAACGAUUCAGAGAUGAUGAGGCCCUUCGGGGCUGCUGUGGAGGUGCUGCAUGGUUGUCGUCAGCUCGUGCCGUGAGGUGUCGGCUUAAGUGCCAUAACGAGCGCAACCCCUCUCCGUAGUUGCCAUCGGGUUAUGCCGGGCACUCUGCGGACACUGCCACCGCAAGGUGCGAGGAAGGUGGGGACGACGUCAAAUCAGCACGGCCCUUACGUCCGGGGCUACACACGUGUUACAAUGGGGCGCACAGAGCGCCGGCCGUGCGCAAGCCCGGCCCAAUCGCAAAACCGCCCCUCAGUUCGGACUGGGGUCUGCAACCCGACC